GAGGGUAUGGCUCAGCGGUAGAAUACAUGCCUAGCAUGCAUGAGGUCCUGGGUUCAAUUCCCCAGUACCUCCA
This 73-nucleotide transfer RNA is filed under the name Camelus bactrianus (Bactrian camel). It matches the Rfam family "tRNA". Rfam says of the family: Transfer RNA (tRNA) molecules are approximately 80 nucleotides in length. Lineage: Eukaryota; Metazoa; Chordata; Mammalia; Artiodactyla; Camelidae. RNAcentral also lists the same sequence under 2 other names. The record is from Rfam by way of RNAcentral.